RNAcentral lists this ribosomal RNA (279 nucleotides) under uncultured bacterium. Its description in RNAcentral is "partial 16S ribosomal RNA". It matches the Rfam family "Bacterial small subunit ribosomal RNA", at positions 506 to 784 of the family's 1533-position model. The record is from RNAcentral.
UGCCAGCCGCCGCGGUAAUACAGAGGGUGCAAGCGUUAAUCGGAAUUACUGGGCGUAAAGGGUGCGUAGGUGGCUAGAUAAGUUAGAUGUGAAAGCCCUGGGCUCAACCUGGGAAUUGCGUUUGAAACUGUUUGGCUAGAGUGCUGUAGAGGGUAGUAGAAUUUCCAGUGUAGCGGUGAAAUGCGUAGAUAUUGGAAGGAAUACCGGUGGCGAAGGCGACUGCCUGGACAGACACUGACACUGAGGCACGAAAGCGUGGGGAGCGAACAGGAUUAGAUA